This 253-nucleotide ribosomal RNA is filed under the name uncultured bacterium. RNAcentral describes it as "partial 16S ribosomal RNA". It matches the Rfam family "Bacterial small subunit ribosomal RNA", at positions 524 to 776 of the family's 1533-position model. The record is from RNAcentral.
UACGUAGGGUGCGAGCGUUAAUCGGAAUUACUGGGCGUAAAGCGUGCGCAGGCGGUUCGUCGUGUCCAAUGUGAAAGCCCCGGGCUCAACCUGGGAAUGGCAUUGGAAACUGGCGGGCUUGAGUGUGGCAGAGGGGGGUGGAAUUCCGCGUGUAGCAGUGAAAUGCGUAGAGAUGCGGAGGAACACCGAUGGCGAAGGCAGCCCCCUGGGCUGACACUGACGCUCAGGCACGAAAGCGUGGGGAGCGAACAGG